CAGGACACAUGAACAUUGACCAUUCGAACGCACAUUGCGGCCCAUAG
This 47-nucleotide ribosomal RNA is filed under the name Frankliniella occidentalis (western flower thrips). RNAcentral describes it as "partial 5.8S ribosomal RNA". The record is from RNAcentral. Lineage: Eukaryota; Metazoa; Arthropoda; Insecta; Thysanoptera; Thripidae.